RNAcentral lists this non-coding RNA (29 nucleotides) under Mus musculus (house mouse). The record is from RNAcentral. Lineage: Eukaryota; Metazoa; Chordata; Mammalia; Rodentia; Muridae.
UGCACCUGAGAAAGGUUGGUUAUCAAGGA